Molecule: ribosomal RNA, 503 nt
Filed under: uncultured bacterium
Lineage: Bacteria
Description: partial 16S ribosomal RNA
Rfam family: Bacterial small subunit ribosomal RNA
Source: RNAcentral
AACGAACGCUGGCGGCGUGCCUAACACAUGCAAGUCGAACGGGAAAGGGGCUUCGGCUCCGAGUAAAGUGGCGCACGGGUGAGUAACACGUGGGUAACCUGCCUCUAAGAUUGGGAUAACUCGUCGAAAGAUGAGCUAAUACCGAAUAAGACCACAGUUCCCGCGGGAACAGGGGUCAAAGGUAGCCUCUGCUUGCAAGCUAUCACUUAGAGAUGGGCCUGCGCACCAUUAGCUAGUUGGUAGGGUAACGGCCUACCAAGGCAAAGAUGGUUAGCUGGUCUGAGAGGAUGAUCAGCCACACUGGAACUGAGACACGGUCCAGACUCCUACGGGAGGCAGCAGUGGGGAAUAUUGCGCAAUGGGCGAAAGCUUGACGCAGCAACGCCGCGUGAGUGAUGAAGGCCUUCGGGUCGUAAAGCUCUGUCGGGAGGAACGAAUGCUCCUGAGGUUAACAGCCUCGGGAGGUGACGGUACCUUCAAAGGAAGCACCGGCUAACUCUGUG